RNAcentral lists this non-coding RNA (61 nucleotides) under unclassified sequences. The record is from RNAcentral.
CGUCUAAUGUAACCACUUGCAAAAGUGAUGGUCCAAAGUCCAUGCAAAUACAGAUGGGACA